This 71-nucleotide transfer RNA is filed under the name Cordylochernes scorpioides. RNAcentral's name for it is "tRNA-Gly". It matches the Rfam family "tRNA". From Rfam's summary of the family: Transfer RNA (tRNA) molecules are approximately 80 nucleotides in length. Their secondary structure includes four short double-helical elements and three loops (D, anti-codon, and T loops). Further hydrogen bonds mediate the characteristic L-shaped molecular structure. tRNAs have two regions of fundamental functional importance: the anti-codon, which is responsible for specific mRNA codon recognition, and the 3' end, to which the tRNAs corresponding amino acid is attached (by aminoacyl-tRNA synthetases). tRNAs cope with the degeneracy of the genetic code in two manners: having more than one tRNA (with a specific anti-codon) for a particular amino acid; and 'wobble' base-pairing, i.e. permitting non-standard base-pairing at the 3rd anti-codon position. The record is from RNAcentral. Lineage: Eukaryota; Metazoa; Arthropoda; Arachnida; Pseudoscorpiones; Chernetidae.
CCAUCGGUGGUUCAAUGGUAGAAUGCUCGCCUGCCACGCGGGCGGCCCAGGUUCGAUUCCCGGCCGAUGCA